UGUGUGCACCCAACUUGGGUACGAUUUAAAAGCAGACCCCUGUAAGCCCUUGAAGACCCAUUUCCCACAUCCAGUAUCCCAUGACAAUGUUUUUGUUGUGAUGGAUGCUUGCCACAUGCUGAAGCUGACACGCAAUAUGUUGCAGGCAUACAGCCCAAUUAGAAGCAUAACUGGCCGUAUCAAUUGGAAGUACAUAGUUCAGCUGAACAAUGUCCAAAAGAAAAGUGGACUACCUGCUGCCAACCGAGUCACAGAUAACCAUGUGAACUUUGCUAAUCAGAAGAUGAAGGUCUCCCUGGCUGCUCAGACUUUG
Gadus morhua (Atlantic cod) is the source of this 313-nucleotide long non-coding RNA. The record is from Ensembl. NCBI's taxonomy places the organism in Eukaryota, Metazoa, Chordata, Actinopteri, Gadiformes, Gadidae.